Molecule: ribosomal RNA, 373 nt
Filed under: uncultured bacterium
Lineage: Bacteria
Description: bacterial SSU rRNA
Rfam family: Bacterial small subunit ribosomal RNA
Source: RNAcentral
AUAACGUAGCGAAAGUUACGCUAAUACCGCAUACGAUCUAACGGAUGAAANCGGGGGGACUCGCAAGAGCCUCGCGCGAUUGGAGCGGCCGAUAUCAGAUUAGGUAGUUGGUGGGGUAAAGGCUCACCAAGCCAACGAUCUGUAGCUGGUCUGAGAGGACGACCAGCCACACUGGAACUGAGACACGGUCCAGACUCCUACGGGAGGCAGCAGUGGGGAAUUUUGGACAAUGGACGCAAGUCUGAUCCAGCCAUUCCGCGUGCAGGAUGAAGGCCCUCGGGUUGUAAACUGCUUUUGUACGGAACGAAAAGGUUUCUAUUAAUACUAGGAGCUCAUGACGGUACCGUAAGAAUAAGCACCGGCUAACUACGUG